Molecule: ribosomal RNA, 507 nt
Filed under: uncultured bacterium
Lineage: Bacteria
Description: partial 16S ribosomal RNA
Rfam family: Bacterial small subunit ribosomal RNA
Source: RNAcentral
GACGAACGCUGGCGGCGUGCCUAAUACAUGCAAGUCGAACGCAUUUUCUUUCACCGUAGCUUGCUACACCGAAAGAAAAUGAGUGGCGAACGGGUGAGUAACACGUGGGUAACCUGCCCAUCAGCGGGGGAUAACACUUGGAAACAGGUGCUAAUACCGCAUAAUUCCAUUUACCGCAUGGUAAAUGGAUGAAAGGCGCUUUUGCGUCACUGAUGGAUGGACCCGCGGUGCAUUAGCUAGUUGGUGGGGUAACGGCCUACCAAGGCUGCGAUGCAUAGCCGACCUGAGAGGGUGAUCGGCCACACUGGGACUGAGACACGGCCCAGACUCCUACGGGAGGCAGCAGUAGGGAAUCUUCGGCAAUGGACGCAAGUCUGACCGAGCAACGCCGCGUGAGUGAAGAAGGUUUUCGGAUCGUAAAACUCUGUUGUUAGAGAAGAACAAGGAUGAGAGUGGAAAGUUCAUCCCUUGACAGUAUCUAACCAGAAAGCCACGGCUAACUACGUG